RNAcentral lists this ribosomal RNA (492 nucleotides) under uncultured bacterium. Its description in RNAcentral is "partial 16S ribosomal RNA". It matches the Rfam family "Bacterial small subunit ribosomal RNA", at positions 29 to 507 of the family's 1533-position model. The record is from RNAcentral.
AGUGAACGCUGGCGGUAGGCCUAACACAUGCAAGUCGAACGGCAGCACAGUAAGAGCUUGCUCUUACGGGUGGCGAGUGGCGGACGGGUGAGGAAUACAUCGGAAUCUACUUUUUCGUGGGGGAUAACGUAGGGAAACUUACGCUAAUACCGCAUACGACCUACGGGUGAAAGCAGGGGAUCUUCGGACCUUGCGCGAUUGAAUGAGCCGAUGUCGGAUUAGCUAGUUGGCGGGGUAAAGGCCCACCAAGGCGACGAUCCGUAGCUGGUCUGAGAGGGUGAUCAGCCACACUGGAACUGAGACACGGUCUAGACUCCUACGGGAGGCAGCAGUGGGGAAUAUUGGACAAUGGGCGCAAGCCUGAUCCAGCCAUACCGCGUGGGUGAAGAAGGCCUUCGGGUUGUAAAGCCCUUUUGUUGGGAAAGAAAAGCAGCAGGUUAAUACCCCGCUGUUCUGACGGUACCCAAAGAAUAAGCACCGGCUAACUUCGUG